This 496-nucleotide ribosomal RNA is filed under the name uncultured bacterium. Its description in RNAcentral is "partial 16S ribosomal RNA". It matches the Rfam family "Bacterial small subunit ribosomal RNA", at positions 28 to 506 of the family's 1533-position model. The record is from RNAcentral.
GAUGAACGCUGGCGGCGUGCCUAAUACAUGCAAGUCGAGCGAACGGACGAGAAGCUUGCUUCUCUGAUGUUAGCGGCGGACGGGUGAGUAACACGUGGAUAACCUACCUAUAAGACUGGGAUAACUUCGGGAAACCGGAGCUAAUACCGGAUAAUAUUUUGAACCGCAUGGUUCAAAAGUGAAAGACGGUCUUGCUGUCACUUAUAGAUGGAUCCGCGCUGCAUUAGCUAGUUGGUAAGGUAACGGCUUACCAAGGCAACGAUGCAUAGCCGACCUGAGAGGGUAGUGGGCCACACUGAAACUGAAACAGGGUCCAGACCCCCACGGGGGGGAACAGUGGGGAAUUUUCCGCAGGGGGCAAAAGCCUCACGGCAAAACCCCGAGUGGGUGAUGAAGGUUUUGGGAUCGUAAAACUCUGUUAUUAGGAAAGAAAAUAUGUAAAAGUAACUGUGCAAAUUUUGACGGUACCUACAAGAAAGACCGCGGCUAACUGCGU